RNAcentral lists this ribosomal RNA (1346 nucleotides) under uncultured bacterium. RNAcentral's name for it is "bacterial SSU rRNA". It matches the Rfam family "Bacterial small subunit ribosomal RNA", at positions 28 to 1381 of the family's 1533-position model. The record is from RNAcentral.
GAUGAACGCUGGCGGCGUGCCUAACACAUGCAAGUCGAACGGGGACAGACGGAAACCUAGUGAAGUCUGUCCGAGUGGCGGACGGGUGAGUAACGCGUGGAUAACCUGCCGCAUGCAGGGGGAUACCGGCUGGAAACAGCCGCAAAUACCGCAUAAGCGCACGGUGCCGCAUGGCAGAGUGCGAAAAGGAGAAAUCCGGCAAGCGAUGGAUCCGCGUCCGAUUAGCCAGUUGGCGGGGUAAGGGCCCACCAAAGCGACGAUCGGUAGCCGGCCUGAGAGGGCGGACGGCCACAUUGGGACUGAGACACGGCCCAGACUCCUACGGGAGGCAGCAGUGGGGGAUAUUGCACAAUGGGGGAAACCCUGAUGCAGCGACGCCGCGUGGGUGAAGAAGUAUUUCGGUAUGUAAAGCCCUAUCAGCAGGGAAGAAAGAAGACGGUACCUGACUAAGAAGCCCCGGCUAACUACGUGCCAGCAGCCGCGGUAAUACGUAGGGGGCGAGCGUUAUCCGGAUUCACUGGGUGUAAAGGGAGCGUAGACGGCCGUGCAAGCCAGGAGUGAAAGCCCGGGGCCCAACCCCGGGACUGCUCUUGGAACUGUGCGGCUGGAGUGCGGGAGGGGCAGGCGGAAUUCCUGGUGUAGCGGUGAAAUGCGUAGAUAUCAGGAGGAACACCGGCGGCGAAGGCGGCCUGCUGGACCGCGACUGACGUUGAGGCUCGAAAGCGUGGGGAGCGAACAGGAUUAGAUACCCUGGUAGUCCACGCCGUAAACGAUGACUACUAGGUGUCGGGGCACGACAGUGCUUCGGUGCCGGCGCAAACGCAAUAAGUAGUCCACCUGGGAAGUACGUCCGCAAGGAUGAAACUCAAAGGAAUUGACGGGGACCCGCACAAGCGGUGGAGCAUGUGGGUUAAUUCGAAGCAACGCGAAGAACCUUACCUGGCCUUGACAUCCCGGUGAAUGCAGGGUAAUGCCUGCAGCCUUUCGGGGCAGCGGAGACAGGUGGUGCAUGGUCGUCGUCAGCUCGUGUCGUGAGAUGUUGGGUCAAGUCCCGCAACGAGCGCAACCCCUGCCCCUAGUAGCCAGCACGUAAUGGUGGGCACUCUAGGGGGACUGCCGGGGACAACCCGGAGGAGGGCGGGGACGACGUCAAAUCAUCAUGCCCCUUAUGGCCAGGGCUACACACGUGCUACAAUGGCGUGCACAGAGGGAAGCAAAGCGGCGACGCCAAGCAAAGCCCGGAAAGCACGCCCCAGUUCGGAUUGCAGCCUGCAACUCGGCUGCAUGAAGCCGGAAUCGCUAGUAAUCGCGGAUCAGAACGCCGCGGUGAAUACGUUCCCGGGUCU